Molecule: non-coding RNA, 542 nt
Organism: Pimephales promelas (fathead minnow)
Lineage: Eukaryota; Metazoa; Chordata; Actinopteri; Cypriniformes; Leuciscidae
Source: RefSeq, a predicted model, not a curated record
CAGAAUUUGAGAAGAUCCGUCCAGCCAAAGCAGCAGAGGUCUCAAAUGAGAACAGUAAUAGCAGUAGCUCUAAAAUAUACAAUGUGGUUGGACUGUGAUAAUGUGUCUGUGUGGCAUUGUCUACAGUUUGAAAUGCAGCAUCCGAGCAGAGAGCCCGCGUGAUUAUGCCGAACAUUGUCAUUAAUGACUUUGCACGUGGACAGGCAACCCAUACUAACCUAAGACAGCCACAAACAAUACCCUUCACACCAUUUGAAGGGAGGUUAAUGGACCCAACUGCAGAAAACAUAGAGAAAGCCAAAGCUGGAAACGUAAAGGUGUCAGUACCCUGGCUGACAUGCAAAAAGGAAAAUCCUGACCCUGAUGGCCACCCUAUUACUGGUUCAGCAGAACAUUAUGUUCUUUAUGACUGGUUCCAUGAGGACAACACAAAGGAUGCUCGAGAUUCACUGCGGAAGCUUCGCCUAGUCGCGCAACUAGCUGGGUGAGUUAACAGCCAAGUCGUGGAACAGGUAUUUGCAAAACUAAAAAAAAAAAAAAAA